ACGCAUGUUUAUUGUUGUAUUAUUGUAUUGUUGUGCUGUUGUUUGUUGUUGGUCGAUUGUUACUAAUUUGACGGAUUUGUUUGCGGAUACGUUACAGUUUGUUUUGCAAGAACUUCAAGAUAGCCAUUGUUCCGCCCGUUCCUGUCCAGCUUCUCUACUUCCUACAGUUUUCUGCUACUGCUGCUGCUGCCUCUUCUGCCGGCGCUUUGUACUAAGAAAAAAUGCCUAUUGGCAAACAAUUGCUGAUGUCGAUGCGUCGAAACUCUCACUGGCAGUCGGUCGACAGCUGAUGCUCUCUUGCACUGAUUGCACUCGCACUCUGAUUGCACUGCUUUGCGAACAGCUGCGAUUGGAAAAUCAAUAUUAACUGCAAUUUAACUUUAAAAAUAAAUGAUAAUCAAACGCGGGCUCAUGUUGUUAUCUGCCAGUUGUAAUAAAUUUGGAAAAAUUUUGUUUAGAUAUGAUUUACCAGGCCUACUUAGUAUUAAAAUUUAAUCGGAAAAACACAUAUGCUUUAGUCUCUAAGCUCUUAAAUUCGAUCCUCAAAAGACCUGCUAUAAAUUAAACCGUUUACUACAUAAAAGCCAGCGAGAAAUGUAGAGAAUAUUAAGAUCGCGAAAUUAUAUCCUCAGAUAAGAUUUCUUUGCAGUAAAAGUCUGUUAAACUACCAACUUUCAAAAUAUACGUUUACUCCGCACUACGAACGGCAACUUUCUGCUUCAAUUAUUGCUAUGAAAAAAAGCUCUUUCACACAGAGCAGCUCUUUAUAACAAAAACUCUGGAUAUCAAAUAAGCCUGCAAGCGAAAUGAUUAAAAUAAAUGCAGCUGAAAGCUGUUGGCAAUACGCUUAUGUUUCGAAAGUUAUGCCAUUAUUUUGCACCAUAUGUAUAAUUUGUAUUAAUUGUAAAAGAACCUGCUGAAAAGGUUGUGCAACAGCCAAACUUAAUUUACUCUGCCCUUCUGCCCACAACGAUGAUUUAACAAAUUAAAAGAGGAACUCAAGAAGUCAUAAAAAUCGCAACUAUUCCAUGUGCAUAAUCUAAUUGAAAAUGUCCAAUAUCCAGAUAUUAUAUGAUUUAUACAAACAAAAUAUGAAUUGGUAUUGCCAUGUCUCACAAUCUCCAGACUGACUUUUUACUGUCUUCAGUAGAUUUUGUAAACAACAUUUUUAUUCCCAUUGAUUUCUGUAAAAUAUAAUACUCAU
Molecule: long non-coding RNA, 1204 nt
Organism: Drosophila obscura
Lineage: Eukaryota; Metazoa; Arthropoda; Insecta; Diptera; Drosophilidae
Exons: 3
Source: RefSeq, a predicted model, not a curated record